This 247-nucleotide long non-coding RNA is filed under the name Mytilus galloprovincialis (Mediterranean mussel). The record is from RNAcentral. Lineage: Eukaryota; Metazoa; Mollusca; Bivalvia; Mytilida; Mytilidae.
GUUGUUUGUGACCUUAGGGAAAUUUAUUUGGAUAUGCCGAUUAUGGUCUCAUUGAGAUUUACCAGACCUUCAUUCAAUUUCAGCACAUUUUUUACGUUCCAUUUAUGGACUUUAUGCUGUUCGUUCUGUGCGUCCGUUCGUUCUUCCGUUCAUCCGUCUGUUCCGCUUCAGGUUAAAGUUUUUUGGUAAAGGUAGUUUUUGAUGAAGUUGCAGUCUAAUCAAUUUGAAACACAGUACACAUAUUCCA